Molecule: long non-coding RNA, 866 nt
Filed under: Canis lupus familiaris (dog)
Lineage: Eukaryota; Metazoa; Chordata; Mammalia; Carnivora; Canidae
Description: lncRNA (ENSCAFG00845001521.1)
Source: RNAcentral
GCUACAGCCACCCCAGCCUUCAGCCAGCCACCACCCUGAACAGUCAGCAGCCAUCAGCAUUGAGGCAUGACAUCCACCAGCAAAAAGACUAUGACUCACUGAAAGCUGAGUUAUAUAAAGAGUUAGCAUUUUUUAGCAAUUAAGUAUUUUUAAAUUAAGGUUUAUGGAUUGUAUUUUUUAGACAUAAUACUCUUACACACUUAAUAGACCAUAAUGUAGUAUAAACUUUUAUAUGUACUUUUUUAAUUAAAAAAUUCAUUUGACUGGCUUUUUUUGUGACAUUUACUUUAUUGCAGGUGUCUAGAACCAAAUCCACAAUAUCUCGAGGUAUGCAUGUAAUUAGACGUCAGAGUCGCCAUUAGAAUGUGCUGAUGGCAAUCUAGAACAUGAGGAACAUGAACAUCCAGGGUGGGAACUUCCUUAUCUGGAGGAAAUCUGCUACCCAGACAGCAACCCCUUCCCAGAUCCUUGCUGAGUGAAGUGACUAAACUCCAUCUCUCCCACCCAUCUGGUUGGAAGCCGAAAGCCAGAAGCCCCAUGUCCCCAGCAGCAGCAGGAAGAAGCCAAAGUCCCUCUCCACUCAGCUAGGAGACCUGUUGGAGAUUCGGAUUCGGAUACACUUGCCAAAGUGCAGGGAGGUUGGAACUGGGCAUCAGUGGGCGUGUGUUCUCACAUCCUCGUCUACAUCAGUGCUGUCUGCCGAUGCUUUUGUCGUACAGAUCACAUCAACUUAAAGGCAGUUAUCAAGAAGCCCCCCUUGGCAUACCCACCAACUGCCUGCCUUUCCUACCAUUAAUCAGUGUCUGCUAAUUGGAGAACAGUUGUUUAUCUACCAACACCCUACCCCCAAGGCAGUUAAAAUGAAU